GACGAACGCUGGCGGCGGGCUUAACACAUGCAAGUCGAACGGAAAGGCCCUGCUUUUGUGGGGUGCUCGAGUGGCGAACGGGUGAGUAACACGUGAGUAACCUGCCCUUGACUUUGGGAUAACUUCAGGAAACUGGGGCUAAUACCGGAUAGGAGCUCCUGCUGCAUGGGGGGGGUUGGAAAGUUUCGGCGGGUGGGGAUGGACUCGCGGCUUAUCAGCUUGUUGGUGGGGUAGUGGCUUACCAAGGCUUUGACGGGUAGCCGGCCUGAGAGGGUGACCGGCCACAUUGGGACUGAGAUACGGCCCAGACUCCUACGGGAGGCAGCAGUGGGGAAUAUUGCACAAUGGGCGGAAGCCUGAUGCAGCAACGCCGCGUGCGGGAUGACGGCCUUCGGGUUGUAAACCGCUUUCGCCUGUGACGAAGCGUGAGUGACGGUACUGGGUAAAGAAGCACCGGCUAACUACGUG
This 468-nucleotide ribosomal RNA is filed under the name uncultured bacterium. RNAcentral describes it as "partial 16S ribosomal RNA". It matches the Rfam family "Bacterial small subunit ribosomal RNA", at positions 28 to 507 of the family's 1533-position model. The record is from RNAcentral.